Molecule: long non-coding RNA, 809 nt
Organism: Carassius carassius (crucian carp)
Lineage: Eukaryota; Metazoa; Chordata; Actinopteri; Cypriniformes; Cyprinidae
Exons: 4
Source: RefSeq, a predicted model, not a curated record
CUUGUUUUACAGCUGAAGACCAGAAACGAAAAGAAAAUCGGUCAAAGCAGUCCUAAAGAAAUGAGGAAUGAACAUGGACCUCUUGUGCCCCAAAAGAAAAGACAGAAAGCUUCUAGAAUGAGCAAAUCAGCUGUGCAUCAUCUCUGUGGUUUGGGAAGGAAAUGACUGAAUAUGAUGAAGCCAGUUGAUGAAGAUAUCAAUUAAAUGGCCACCGAGUGCAGCACUGCUACCUGAACCCAUCAGUUAUCUGCUGUGAAGACUGCAUUCACAAACCGCUCUACUGCGACAGCUCAGAUGUUACGGCCCGUAAAAGUAAACAUCACAACUAAACAACGAGAGCUAGUUUGUGAGGAGGACUGUCAGAGACUCCAGCGACCCGAGCCAUGGAUUGCUCUCACCCUUACCAUCAGGCAGACGUUAUCACAGAACCUACACCAGCAGACAGUGAGACAAGUUCCUUUCACAGGCAAUCAGACUCAACUGCACUCAUACCAGUAAAACCAUACACACCCGACACCCCACCAACCUCAUAUGCCCCGCACUCUUAUCAGUUACGCUGACUGGACUCAAUAUUAUUAUGCACCCUGACAUUCUGUUUGCACUAAUUCAUACCGUGCUGCACUGCAGAGAUGUAUGUGUACUGUGCUUAUUAUUGUUUUCAAUUCAUGCUCUCUGUAUAGCAUAAUUUUUUUACAUAUAUUGUUCUCUACCUGUAUUGAGUCCCUUACAUAUGUGUGUUGCAUAUAUAUUCAGAAUUUGUAUUUCAUAUAUAUUCAUUAAUUAAUUCAUUUGUCAUCCAUACUGUCAUG